This 156-nucleotide unclassified non-coding RNA is filed under the name fungal sp. Its description in RNAcentral is "partial internal transcribed spacer region". The record is from RNAcentral. Lineage: Eukaryota; Fungi.
AAGUCGUUUCUGAACCUGCGGAAGGAUCAUUAACACGUAUCCUACGGCUAACCACCCGUGCACCUUCAUCGAAAAACCCCCACCGUGCUCCUCCUUCUUCAGGGAGCUGGAGCCGGAAACCCCGAACAACUGUUAACAAUGGAUAACUUGGCUCUC